UAAAAGUAUAAAACUGUAAACUUAUCUGUAAUUAACAGAACUCCAAAUUAUAGAAGCAAAAAUGAACAGAACUGAAGGAAAAAAUAGUUCUAAAAUAACAGAUCCCAAUAAAGCCCCUCUCCUUAACUAAAAAGAGUGGAAGUCACUUUUCCUUUAAUUUCCUUAAUAUUUUUAAAAUAUACAAUUAUACAUUAUUUCAAAAAAAUAUAGAGAUUAAGUAGAAAUAUUUUCUCAAGUGACCCAGAAAUUUUUAAAAUUUGGGGUCAUAAAGAACUUACCUAAAAGUGAUUCUUACAAAUGAGAUAUUCACCCAACUUUUUAAAGAGACGACUCAAAAACUAAUACUAAAUCAUGUAUUCCAAUAUCAUGCCAUAGUCAGUUAAAAGAGAGAAAUCAAAAGUAGAAAGAUACCCAUAAAAGCGAGAAAAGGAAAUGUAAAGUGAGUAUACUAGAUUCUAUUUUUAUCCAGCUAUUAACCAGAAAGGAUGCUCAAGGGACCAUUACCUUAACCUUUUAAUUGGUCAUUUAAAAUGCUAACUGAUUAAACCUUUGCUCCUACUUCAACAAGUUUCUAUACUCCUCUCAAACCGUAUAAAUAGGAACUUGUGUCCCAAAUUGCAGUGUUUUUUUAAUCAGAGUUGUCCCUCGGGAAAGGACUUACAAAACCACUGUCAUCUAAAGUGACAAUUUUUAAUCCCUAAAGUAAAUCCAAGCAACAGGACUUUUUCAAUCCUGCAAGUAGUGGAUCUUUGUUUCAGAAUACAAGAAGAGGAAAACAGAAAGGUAACUGAGAACUAGUAAUAUCUUGCUACUGAGACAAAUGAAAAUACCUGACGUUAAGUUUCAAAAUACAUCUAAUUCUUCACACUUGCUUAAACGUAAACUGGACCUUCUGAAGUUUAUUAAAGAUGUUAGAAAAAUAUUACUUUAUAAUAUCACACAGAAGUUUCAAUAUGUUCAAAGAAAAGCCUUUCCCUGCAAUUCUCCACUCCAGGGAUUUGAAAACCGUACACUGAUGGGUGAUCGCGCGCCCUUUUUCGAAUUCCAAGUAGCGGCUGCACAACAAGUGGGAUUGUCCCAUUCUGAAGGGCUCGAUUUUCCUGUAGAGACAAUACAAACUCCUUGACGUAGGUAAAAAUGAGAAAGUACCAGCCUGCUUCUCAGAUUGAGAAACCAAAGACCGGGCAGAGGAAGGGCUUCAAACAUACACCAAAGGGAAAGAAGGGAGAUAAGAAAAACGAAAAAAAAUAUGAAUUAGAAAGACGAAUUAUUAUGCGAUGAUGGUCCCACAUUCUGUUGGGACCGAGGUCCUUCAAAAUCAUCUACGCGUACUUGAGCCCGUGUAGAAAUGACGACAAGAGCCUCCGUCCUGGGAACCAAACUACCCUGUCAGCACCUCCCACUAGCCAGCGUGGAAGCGGAAAGCAAAGGAAAACGAGGAAAAGUGGGAGCAGCAUAACCCCGGACCCCGCGCCAUUAUCAACGCCGCCUCUUUCCCGCGAUGCCUCAUUUACCUGCGUCGCCAAGACAUGACGGAAGCAGUGAGAUGCACAGUGCGACCCAGCAGCAAACGAGAUCGUCGUGCUCUUGGUUUCCGAACACCAGCCACCAAUGACCGUAUGCGAGCCUCUCUCACGUGACAGGCGAAGAUUGGCCCCCAGGAACCUUCACUGUCGUUUACCAGUCUAGAAGUAUUGUGGAAAUUCACCACAAUCGUUCACUUUGGCCGACCAAUAUGGACUUCAAGCUCAGUGCUCCGCAAUUUCUUGACGUUUAGAGCUUGUUAAAUGCAUCUCGUUUUUUUCAUUACUUAGUUUUGUAACAGACUUGGUUUGCACUCGAUUUUUUUUGUUAUUGAUGUGAAGUGUUGUUUAAAGAUUCCUGAAGGAUAUUUUCUAUUUUAAUUUAAUGGACUUGAACACCAAAAAUAUCAUCCCUUGACCCCCGCUUUUGUUGUUAUAAUUCUCUCCAUAAAACGCGCCGUUUUAAAGUGUGUAGUUCAGAAAUUCUUACUGUGUAUUAAGGUUGUGAAACCAUCAUUACUACAAAUAAUUCCAGAAUAUUUUCAUCAUCCUCAAAAAAAAAAAAAUACUAUUUAAAAUUACUGCAGAC
Long non-coding RNA from Pteropus alecto (black flying fox), 2112 nucleotides. RefSeq lists it as uncharacterized. The record is from RefSeq and is a predicted model, not a curated record. NCBI's taxonomy places the organism in Eukaryota, Metazoa, Chordata, Mammalia, Chiroptera, Pteropodidae. The transcript is spliced from 3 exons.